AAUAUGUUCCAUGGUAAAGCUCGUUGUUCAAGAUGAGGAAACAGAGGCAAAUGAAGUUAAGCGACUUGCUCAAGGUCACACAACAGGUGCUACAUAGGGAAGGACCAUAGCCAGGGAACAAAAGAUUGAAAGGAUGAUGGUCAGUGAUCAAUAAGGCCAAAGCCCACCUUUUUAACA
RNAcentral lists this long non-coding RNA (177 nucleotides) under Monodelphis domestica (gray short-tailed opossum). RNAcentral's name for it is "lncRNA (ENSMODG00000036322.2)". The record is from RNAcentral. Lineage: Eukaryota; Metazoa; Chordata; Mammalia; Didelphimorphia; Didelphidae.